Molecule: ribosomal RNA, 500 nt
Filed under: uncultured bacterium
Lineage: Bacteria
Description: partial 16S ribosomal RNA
Rfam family: Bacterial small subunit ribosomal RNA
Source: RNAcentral
GACGAACGCUGGCGGCGUGCUUAACACAUGCAAGUCGAACGGGUCUGCCCUGUUUUUUGCGGGGUGGGUCAGUGGCGAACGGGUGAGUAACACGUGAGUAACCUGCCCCUCACUUCUGGAUAACCGCUUGAAAGGGUGGCUAAUACGGGGUGUUCUGGCUGUGCCGCAUGGUGUGGCUGGGAAAGAUUCACUUUUGUGGUGUUUUGGUGGGGGAUGGGCUCGCGGCCUAUCAGCUUGUUGGUGGGGUGAUGGCCUGCCAAGGCUUUGACGGGUAGCCGGCCUGAGAGGGUGGGCGGUCAAACUGGGACUGAGAUACGGCCCAGACUCCUGCGGGAGGCAGCAGUGGGGGGUAUUGCACAAUGGGCGGAAGCCUGAUGCAGCGACGUCGCGUGAGGGAUGGAGGCCUUCGGGUUGUGAACCUCUUUCGCCGGUGAAGAAGGUCCUGCUCUUUGUGGGGGGGUUGACGGUAGCCGGGUUAUGAAGCGCCGGCUAACUACGUG